This 859-nucleotide long non-coding RNA is filed under the name Mus caroli (Ryukyu mouse). RNAcentral's name for it is "RIKEN cDNA 1110028F11 gene (MGP_CAROLIEiJ_G0034448.1)". Lineage: Eukaryota; Metazoa; Chordata; Mammalia; Rodentia; Muridae. The record is from RNAcentral.
GAGAGGGUUGAGCAAUUAGGAAACAACAGAGAGCUCAGAGUCCACAAAACAAGCUAAGGGAUGCUUGGGAUAUUUGUACAUACAUGUGCCUUCUGCAUGAGGUCACAUAUAGACACCCUCCAGGCUGGGUGGGCUGCAGGCCCUUGGGAAGCUGAAACAGAGGCUGGCAGUGGUGAUCAUGGGCUUCAUGCAUAUCAACUUUUUUGAGUAUAAAGGAAAGAGAAAGAAAUUAAUUCAUCUCUCACAGUGAAGCUCAGGCCCAUCCUGCACAGUUCUUCCCUUCUGAAUGUAAAUGUGAUCCACGAUACCGCCCAGGAGUGGGGAGACUGGGAGCAACCAAGUUUGAACCACAGAGUGUUACCCGUCCCCAUUCAACAGAUGGCAUCUACACGAUGGCCUGAGAGGACUUAGUUGCACGGGUCCAUUUGGAGACAGCACCUGCCCCUCUGAGCUUUUUCAGCUACAAAGGAAGCUGGCUGUAGACCAGCAGCUGGAACGAACGGAGCUGGAGACUAGGCUGGAAGACACUGAACGAGAGUGAAGUUGACCAGUUAAAGUUAAGCCCUUUCACCUGCUAGCACUGAAGCUCUGCUCACUGGUGCCACCGGAAGUUCAGAUGAGCCUCUGGAACAUUUAAAUAGAUACACUGGUUUCCUUGGAUUUCAUUCAUUUCUUUUUUUCUUUCUUUUGUUUGUUUGUUUAUUGCUGGUUUGGUUUGGUUUGGUUUGGUUUGGUUUGGUUUGGUUUGGUUUGGCUUGAGACAGAAUUUCUCUGUGUGAUUUUUGGGUGUCUUGGAAUUCCCAGAGAUCUGCCUGCUUCUGCCUUCUGGAAUUAAAGGCCUUCCCCCCCCACCCCCCAC